GCUGACAACACUGCUUAUGGCUAAUAUGUACAGUAGUAACAUGGAUUAACCAUGCCUAACUCUCCUUCAGUAGCUAGAUCCACAUUUCCAGAUGUUCCUGAGUCACUCAGAGCUGAAGCCCUCUCUCUGACUUAUUGUGAAGGAAGGUAUGCAAGAAGUAAUUGAAAAAGUAAAAAUAUAAAACCAAAUGUGAAGCAUCAUUAUAACUCCUAUGUAGUAUUCCCUUUUUGUACAUUCCAGGGAUCUCAAUCACCACUAGUGCUCUUACUUGCUUCCUGCAAGGAGCACUUGCCUUCACACCAGGCCCAAUAGCCAUAGAUGAGGAGGCCUUUGAAGCACCCGUGGUCAAGAAAGCUCACCAAACAACUUCAGGAGUGCAACAUGUUGCCCGUCUUGGAUGUAGGCCUGAAGCAACAAUUUCUUGCAUUUGUCAUACUGCCUGAUAACCUGUACACACUUUUAUCUUCAACAACAUUGGGAGGACACCAGAAGAAGGAUUAUUCCUUCUUUAUAGGUGAAAUUUCACUUUUUAAAAAAUGUGGUAAUGAGGGAAAGAGAAUCUCCUUCCACACGUAACGUUGGGGGCAUUUCUUUAAAGAAGAACUCAGAAACAUGAGUGUGUAGAACAGACACUCCAGCAUGGUCCGAUCCAACUGAUGCUGGUAAGGCUCUUAAUGACAAGGCU
This 685-nucleotide long non-coding RNA is filed under the name Fukomys damarensis (Damara mole-rat). RNAcentral describes it as "lncRNA (ENSFDAG00000022756.1)". Lineage: Eukaryota; Metazoa; Chordata; Mammalia; Rodentia; Bathyergidae. The record is from RNAcentral.